CUCAGAUCAUGUAAGAUUUUAAUGAUCGAACAGAUCAAAAUUUUAAACUUUUGCAUUUAAAUUUUAUCUUAAUCCAACAUCGAGGUCGCAAACUUUUUUUUUUAUUUGAACUAAAAAAAAAUAUUACGCUGUUAUCCCUAAGGUAAUUUUUUCUUAUAAUCAUUAUUAAUGGAUCAUUUAAUCAUUUAUUUAUGUUUAAUUUUUAAAAAAAGUUAAUUUAAUUUUUCUAUCACCCCAAUAUAAUAAUUAAUUUUAUUUUAAUAAAAAUUUUUAUAUAAUUUUAAAAUAAAAAUAAAUAUAAAACUCUAUAGGGUCUUCUCGUCUUUUAAAAUUAAUUUAGCUUUUUAACUAAAAAAUAAACUUCUAAAAAUAAAUAAGAGACAGUUUAUAUUUCAUCAAAUCUUUCAUACAAGUUUUCAAUUAAAAAACUAUUGAUUAUGCUACCUUUGUACAGUCAUUAUACUGCAGCCCUUUAAUUAUUAUCAGUGGGCAGAUUAGACCUUAAAUUAUAUUCAAAAAGACAUGUUUU
RNAcentral lists this ribosomal RNA (529 nucleotides) under Oeneis jutta. Its description in RNAcentral is "partial 16S rRNA". The record is from RNAcentral. Lineage: Eukaryota; Metazoa; Arthropoda; Insecta; Lepidoptera; Nymphalidae.